Molecule: ribosomal RNA, 138 nt
Filed under: uncultured eukaryote
Lineage: Eukaryota
Description: partial 18S ribosomal RNA
Rfam family: Eukaryotic small subunit ribosomal RNA
Source: RNAcentral
UGGUGGAGCGAUUUGUCUGGUUAAUUCCGAUAACGAACAAGACUCUGGCCUAUUAAAUAGUUCGCCGAUUCCGAUCUGUCGGCGUUAACUUCUUAGAGGGACAAGUGGCUUUUAGCCACGCGAGAUUGAGCAAUAACA